RNAcentral lists this ribosomal RNA (481 nucleotides) under uncultured bacterium. RNAcentral describes it as "partial 16S ribosomal RNA". It matches the Rfam family "Bacterial small subunit ribosomal RNA", at positions 28 to 507 of the family's 1533-position model. The record is from RNAcentral.
GAUGAACGCUGGCGGCGUGCUUAACACAUGCAAGUCGAACGAAGCACUUUAUUUGAUUUCCUUCGGGACUGAUUAUUUUGUGACUGAGUGGCGGACGGGUGAGUAACGCGUGGGUAACCUGCCUUGUACAGGGGGAUAACAGUUGGAAACGGCUGCUAAUACCGCAUAAGCGCACAGCAUCGCAUGAUGCAGUGUGAAAAACUCCGGUGGUAUAAGAUGGACCCGCGUUGGAUUAGCUAGUUGGUGAGGUAACGGCCCACCAAGGCGACAAUCCAUAGCCGACCUGAGAGGGUGACCGGCCACAUUGGGACUGAGACACGGCCCAAACUCCUACGGGAGGCAGCAGUGGGGAAUAUUGCACAAUGGGCGAAAGCCUGAUGCAGCGACGCCGCGUGAGCGAAGAAGUAUUUCGGUAUGUAAAGCUCUAUCAGCAGGGAAGAUAAUGACGGUACCUGACUAAGAAGCACCGGCUAAAUACGUG